AUUGAACGCUGGCGGCAUGCCUUACACAUGCAAGUCGAACGGCAGCACGGGAGCAAUCCUGGUGGCGAGUGGCGAACGGGUGAGUAAUAUAUCGGAACGUGCCCAGUCGUGGGGAUAACGUAGCGAAAGCUACGCUAAUACCGCAUACGAUCUAUGGAUGAAAGCGGGGGAUCGCAAGACCUCGCGCGAUUGGAGCGGCCGAUAUCAGAUUAGGUAGUUGGUGAGGUAAAGGCUCACCAAGCCGACGAUCUGUAGCUGGUCUGAGAGGACGACCAGCCACACUGGGACUGAGACACGGCCCAGACUCCUACGGGAGGCAGCAGUGGGGAAUUUUGGACAAUGGGCGCAAGCCUGAUCCAGCAAUGCCGCGUGCAGGAUGAAGGCCUUCGGUUGUAACUAGCUUUGUACGG
RNAcentral lists this ribosomal RNA (410 nucleotides) under uncultured bacterium. RNAcentral's name for it is "bacterial SSU rRNA". It matches the Rfam family "Bacterial small subunit ribosomal RNA", at positions 30 to 442 of the family's 1533-position model. The record is from RNAcentral.